GUUACUGCUAUCGGAGUUCGAUUAAGCCAUGCGAGUCUAAAGGUUUCUUCGGAAACCUUGGCGGACUGCUCAGUAACACGUGGAUAACCUACCCUUGGGACUGGAAUAACCCCGGGAAACUGGGGAUAAUACCGGAUAGAUCAGGGAUGCUGGAAUGCACCUUGAUCCAAAGCUCCGGCGCCCAAGGAUGGGUCUGCGACCUAUCAGGUUGUAGUGGGUGUAACGUACCUACUAGCCGACGACGGGUACGGGUUGUGAGAGCAAGAGCCCGGAGAUGGAUUCUGAGACACGAAUCCAGGCCCUACGGGGUGCAGCAGGCGCGAAACCUUUACAAUGUGCGAAAGCAUGAUAAGGGAACUCCGAGUGCCAGUAUCUAAUGCUGGCUGUCCUUGUGCCUAAAACGCACAAGAUAGCAAGGGCCGGGUAAGACCGGUGCCAGCCGCCGCGGUAACACCGGCGGCCCGAGUGGUAGCCGCUAUUAUUGGGGCUAAAGGGUCCGUAGCCGGUUCGAUAAGUCCUCUGGGAAAUCUGGUUGCUUAACAAUCAGACUGCCAAGGGAUACUGUCGAACUUGAGACCGGGAGAGGUAAGAGGUACUUCAGGGGUAGGAGUGAAAUCUUGUAAUCCCUGGGGGACCAUCUGUGGCGAAGGCGUCUUACCAGAACGGGUCUGACGGUGAGGGACGAAAGCUGGGGGCGCAAACCGGAUUAGAUACCCGGGUAGUCCCAGCCGUAAACGAUGCUCGCUAUGUGUCAGGUACGGUGUGGCCGUAUCUGGUGCCGUAGGGAAGCCGUGAAGCGAGCCACCUGGGAAGUACGGUCGCAAGACUGAAACUUAAAGGAAUUGGCGGGGGAGCACUACAACGGGUGGAGCCUGCGGUUUAAUUGGAUUCAA
RNAcentral lists this ribosomal RNA (893 nucleotides) under uncultured archaeon. RNAcentral's name for it is "bacterial SSU rRNA". It matches the Rfam family "Archaeal small subunit ribosomal RNA", at positions 23 to 915 of the family's 1478-position model. The record is from RNAcentral.